Molecule: long non-coding RNA, 199 nt
Filed under: Lathyrus oleraceus (garden pea)
Lineage: Eukaryota; Viridiplantae; Streptophyta; Magnoliopsida; Fabales; Fabaceae
Description: Pisum sativum (pea) long non-coding RNA (PSAT_LNC016170)
Source: RNAcentral
UUUGUUUGACCUUUGUUGACUUCUGUUGGCCUUGGAUCAUGGUUGUUUUGAUCAUAGGUCUCAUCAAACUCAAUGGAUAUUGGGUGUUGAUGGGGUGAAAACCCUAAUCCACCAAAAUGAAUGAUUGAUUUUGAUGAUGACUUGACCAAUCUGUUGAUCCAAUUUGAGUUUGGUUUCUCUUAUCCUCUUCUUCUUCAUC